UGGCUGUACAUUAUAAGUUGC
RNAcentral lists this non-coding RNA (21 nucleotides) under Arabidopsis thaliana (thale cress). The record is from RNAcentral. Lineage: Eukaryota; Viridiplantae; Streptophyta; Magnoliopsida; Brassicales; Brassicaceae.